GUCGUACAGGUUUCCGUAGGUGAACCUGCGGAAGGAUCAUUAUUAAACGUUACUUCGGUAACUUAAUAUCCUUAACACCUGUGCAUCUUGUCGCUCCGGCGAUAUUAUACAAACAUCAGUGUAAAGAAUGUAUUAUAUUAUAACAAAUACAACUUUCAACAACGGAUCUCUUGGCUCUCGCAUCGAUGAAGAACGCAGCGAAAUGCGAUAAGUAAUGUGAAUUGCAGAAUACAGUGAAUCAUCGAAUCUUUGAACGCACAUUGCGCCUUUUGGUAUUCCGAAAGGCAUGCCUGUUUGAGUGUCAUAAAAACUCUCAUACCUAGUUUUCUAUGUAUGAGCUUUGGACGCUGCCAUCCGUGGCUCGUCUUAAAUGACUAAGUGGAAUGCGUAAUAAGUUUUCGCUCCCUCCACUCUAACAACCUUUAUGUUAGACCUCAAAUCAGGUAGGACUACCCGCUGAACUUAAGCAUAUCA
RNAcentral lists this ribosomal RNA (474 nucleotides) under uncultured fungus. RNAcentral describes it as "eukaryotic LSU rRNA". The stretch from base 151 to 304 matches the Rfam family "5.8S ribosomal RNA". Lineage: Eukaryota; Fungi. The record is from RNAcentral.